Long non-coding RNA from Alligator mississippiensis (American alligator), 2917 nucleotides. RefSeq lists it as uncharacterized. Lineage: Eukaryota; Metazoa; Chordata; Crocodylia; Alligatoridae. The record is from RefSeq and is a predicted model, not a curated record. The transcript is spliced from 3 exons.
UGAGGGCAGAGACCCGGCCCCUGCGGACCACUUCAAGGCAAGAGUUAGGGGUCAGACUGAGGACUUCUGGUCUAGAGGCGGCAGGAAAAGACAUCUGGGACCUCACCUGACCUCCACAAGUACUCAGAACAGUAUCUUCAUUGAAGCCAAUGGCUCCAAAAUUACCUUCAACAACCUAGAGAACAUCCCAUCUGGCCCUGACAACUUGAAAGCAGCUAACUUCUCCAGGAUUCCAUUGGAUGCAAGCAUGAAGCAUGGCAUUACUCAGAUGAUAGCCAAAUACCCAUUCUUGGAUCUCAUCCCAACUGGCUGAAUAUUGUUGUCUACUACAUCUCUGGAGUAGCCAAAGCUACUCUAAUCAGAGAAACUAUAAUAAAAAUGCUUAGCUCUCAGUACAAUUUCAACUGAAUGAGGACAUGGCGGGGAAAAAAAAGCACUGUCUUAUUUCAUUCAGAAAUAAUUCUUUGUUUUGGGUGCUGCAAUAUUAAUUCAGUAGCUGAAAUAAUUUAUACAGAGCUUAUUUCCUGAUAUGAGGUUCUGGUGCUCAUGGGGGACUUCGAUCACCGUGACAUCUGCUGGGAGAGCAAUACAGCAGUGCACAGGCAAUUUGGGAACUUUUUGGAGAAUGCUGGGGACAACUACCUGGUGUAAGUGUUCGAGAGACCAACUAGGGGCCACUUUCUUCUUAAUCUGCUGCUCACAAACAAGUUAAGAAUUGGUGGGGAAUGUAGUAGUGGAUGGGAACUUGAGCAGCAACGACCACAAAAUGAUUGAGUUCAAUAUCCCAAGGAAAGGAAGGAAGAACAGCAGCAGAGUACAGACCCUGGACUUCAGAAAAGCAGACUUCAACUCACUCAGGAAACUCAUGGGCAGGAUCCCCUGGGAAGCCAGUGUGAUGGGGAGAGGAGUUCAGGAGAGCUGACUGUACUUAAAAGAAAUUUUACUGACGGUGCAGGAACAAACCAUCCCAAUGCACAGGAAGACUAGCAAGUAUGGCAGAAGAUCAGCUUGGCUUAGCAAGAACUCUUUAGUACGCUAAAUUACAAAAAGGAAGCGUAAAGAAGUAGAAACUUGGACAAACAACUAGGGAGGAGUAUAAGAGUAUCCCUGGGGCAGGCAGGGAUGAAAUCAGGAAGGCCAAAGCCCAACCAGAGUUGCUGCUAGCAAGGGGCGUGAACAGUAACAAGAAGGGUUUCUACAAGUAUGUCAGCUACAACAGGAGGAUCAGAGAAAGUGUGGGUCUCUUACUGAAUGGGGGAGGCAACCUAUUGACAGGAUGCAGAAAAAGAGCUGAAAUACUCCAUGCCUUUUUCACCUCAGUCUCCACAGACAAGGUCAGCUCCCAGACUACUGCGCCUGCAGCAAAGUUUAGUGAGGAGCUAAGCAGCCAGUAGUGGCAAAAGAACAGGCUAGGGACUAUUUAGAAAAGCUGGAUGUGUACAAGUUCAUGGGGCUGGACAGGAUGCACCCGAGGGUGCUGAGGGAGUUGGCCAAUGUGAUUGCAGAGCCAUUUGCCAUCACCUUUAAAACUCGUGGUGAUUGGGAGGGGUACUGGACUAUUGGAAAAGGGCAAAUAUACCGCCCAUACUAAGAAAAGGAAGGAGGUGAAUCCAGGGAACUACUGACUGGCUAACCAGCAGAUCUGCAGAAAAGGACCUGGGGGUUACAGUGGACAGUAAGCUGAAUAUAAGGCAACAGUGUUUCCUUGUUGCAAAGAAAGCUAACAGCAUACUGGGCUGCAUUAGUAGAAGGGUUGUCAGCAGAUUGAGGAAAGAUUAUUCCCCUCUAUUCAACACUGAUGAGGCCACAUCUGGAGUACUGUGUUCAGUUUUGCGUGCCCCACUAUAGAAAGGAUGUGGACAAACUGGAGUGAGAUCAGCAGAGGGCAACGAAAAUGGUUACAGGGUUGAGGCACAUGACUUCUCAGGAGAGGCUGAGGGAACUGGGUUUAUUUAGUCUGGAAAAGAGAAGACUAAGGGAGUGGAAGGGGGAUUUAAUAGCAGCCUUCAACUACCUGAAGGGUAGUUUCAAAGCAGAUGGAGCUCAGCUGUUCUCACUGGUGGCAGAUAACAGAACAAGCAGCAAUGGUCUCAAGUUGCAGUAAGGGAAAUUUAGGUUAGAUAUUAGGAAAAUAACCCUCUCAUUAGGAGGGUAGUAAAACACUGGAACAGGUUACCCCAAGAGGCUGUAGAGUCCCCAUCCUUGGAGGUUUUUAAGACCUGGUUAGACAAAGACUUGGCUGGGAUGAUCUAGUUGGGGAUGGUCCUGCUUUGAGCAGGCGAUUGGACUAGAUGACCUCCCCUAAGGUCCCUUCCAACCCUAAUUUUCUAUGAUUCUAUUUGUAACUGGCAAGCAAGAGAAAGUUUUUAAACCUUUACAAAACGAUUCUUUCAGAAAGCUUCUUUAAAAAAAACCCCAACAAUUGUUCCAGAGGACUUUUCCAUACAAAUACUAAUAAACAUUAACCUUGACUUUGGUUACCUCAUUUUGUUCAAAUUCAAGAACUAACCACAAAAUAAAAAAAUCUUAUUUGAUAUUUUUUUUCUCCACUGAAAGCAUUAUUUUUCCAUACAAUAGACACUGAGAAACCUUUUCUUCUCCAAAAAGAAGUCAUUAUACUCCUGGCUGUUUAAAGCAAUUUUGUUAUUAACAAUCAACAACUUCUCCUUUUGACUAACUUUAGAGAAGCACUAUAGAAUUCCUGUAUGUAACUUAAAGUUUCCUUGAAAAUUAUUUGUUUUCUUCCAAAAUAAGGCAUUCCUAUUACUAAUGAAGAAAGGUUCCUUUUUGUAUUCUGCAGCAUUUAUUGCUCCAUUUUUAAUAUAUUUUCCGUUCACUUGUACAACACCUAUGCAUAUUUUGUAAUUUUUUUCUUUAAUGUUUACACAAUAAUCAAUUAAAUUUUGAUAUUUCUUUA